UGAUUCUUCGGAUGAAGUCUCUUGUGACUGAGUGGCGGACGGGUGAGUAACGCGUGGGUAACCUGCCUCACACAGGGGGAUAACAGUUGGAAACGACCGCUAAUACCGCAUAACCCGCUGGUGCCGCAUGGCACUGACGGAAAAGAUUUAUCGGUGUGAGAUGGACCCGCGUCUGAUUAGCCAGUUGGCAGGGUAACGGCCUACCAAAGCGACGAUCAGUAGCCGGCCUGAGAGGGUGAACGGCCACAUUGGGACUGAGACACGGCCCAGACUCCUGCGGGAGGCAGCAGUGGGGAAUAUUGCACAAUGGGGGAAACCCUGAUGCAGCGACGCCGCGUGAGUGAAGGAGUAUUUCGGUAUGUAAAGCUCUAUCAGCAGGGAAGAAAAUGACGGUACCUGAUUAAGAAGCCCCGGCUAACUACGUGCCAGCAGCCGCGGUAAUACGUAGGGGGCAAGCGUUAUCCGGAUUUACUGGGUGUAAAGGGAGCGUAGACGGUGAUGCAAGUCAGAAGUGAAAGCCCGGGGCUCAACUCCGGGACUGCUUUUGAAACUGUGUGACUGGAGUGCAGGAGAGGUAAGCGGAAUUCCUGGUGUAGCGGUGAAAUGCGUAGAUAUCAGGAGGAACACCAGUGGCGAAGGCGGCUUACUGGACUGUAACUGACGUUGAGGCUCGAAAGCGUGGGGAGCAAACG
Molecule: ribosomal RNA, 692 nt
Filed under: uncultured bacterium
Lineage: Bacteria
Description: bacterial SSU rRNA
Rfam family: Bacterial small subunit ribosomal RNA
Source: RNAcentral